AACGCUGGCGGCAGGCUUAACACAUGCAAGUCGAGCGGGGAGAUGUAGCUUGCUACUUUUCCUAGCGGCGGACGGGUGAGUAAUGCUUAGGAAUCUGCCUAUUAGUGGGGGGCAACAUUCCGAAAGGAAUGCUAAUACCGCAUACGCCCUACGGGGGAAAGCAGGGGAUCUUCGGACCUUGCGCUAAUAGAUGAGCCUAAGUCAAAUUAGCUAGUUGGUGGGGUAAAGGCCUACCAAGGCGACUAUCUGUAGCGGGUCUGAAAGGAUGAUCCGCCACACUGGGACUGAGACACGGCCCACACUCCUACGGGAGGCAGCAGUGGGGAAUAUUGGACAAUGGGCGAAAGCCUGAUCCAGCCAUGCCGCGUGUGUGAAGAAGGCCUUUUGGUUGUAAAGCACUUUAAGCGAGGAGGAGGCUACUUAUAUUAAUACUCUA
This 436-nucleotide ribosomal RNA is filed under the name uncultured bacterium. Its description in RNAcentral is "bacterial SSU rRNA". It matches the Rfam family "Bacterial small subunit ribosomal RNA", at positions 32 to 470 of the family's 1533-position model. The record is from RNAcentral.